This 465-nucleotide ribosomal RNA is filed under the name uncultured Klebsiella sp. RNAcentral's name for it is "bacterial SSU rRNA". It matches the Rfam family "Bacterial small subunit ribosomal RNA", at positions 338 to 795 of the family's 1533-position model. Lineage: Bacteria; Pseudomonadati; Pseudomonadota; Gammaproteobacteria; Enterobacterales; Enterobacteriaceae. The record is from RNAcentral.
CCUACGGGUGGCUGCAGUGGGGAAUAUUGCACAAUGGGCGCAAGCCUGAUGCAGCCAUGCCGCGUGUGUGAAGAAGGCUUUCGGGUUGUAAAGCACUUUCAGCGGGGAGGAAGGCGGUGAGGUUAAUAACCUCAUCGAUUGACGUUACCCGCAGAAGAAGCACCGGCUAACUCCGUGCCAGCAGCCGCGGUAAUACGGAGGGUGCAAGCGUUAAUCGGAAUUACUGGGCGUAAAGCGCACGCAGGCGGUCUGUCAAGUCGGAUGUGAAAUCCCCGGGCUCAACCUGGGAACUGCAUUCGAAACUGGCAGGCUAGAGUCUUGUAGAGGGGGGUAGAAUUCCAGGUGUAGCGGUGAAAUGCGUAGAGAUCUGGAGGAAUACCGGUGGCGAAGGCGGCCCCCUGGACAAAGACUGACGCUCAGGUGCGAAAGCGUGGGGAGCAAACAGGAUUAGAUACCCUAGUAGUC